AAGACUAUACUUUCAGGGAUCAUUUCUAUAGUAUGUUACUAAAAAUGCAUAUCAGAGAUUUCAUCACUUGUAUA
Molecule: small RNA, 74 nt
Filed under: Marmota monax (woodchuck)
Lineage: Eukaryota; Metazoa; Chordata; Mammalia; Rodentia; Sciuridae
Rfam family: Small nucleolar RNA U3
About the family: Small nucleolar RNAs (snoRNAs) are involved in the processing and modification of rRNA in the nucleolus. There are two main classes of snoRNAs: the box C/D class, and the box H/ACA class.
Source: RNAcentral